UACGUAGGUGGCAAGCGUUGUCCGGAAUUACUGGGUGUAAAGGGCGUGUAGGCGGGGGAACAAGUCAGAUGUGAAAUCCCAGGGCUUAACUCUGGAGCUGCAUCUGAAACUGUUUCUCUUGAGUAUCGGAGAGGAAAGUGGAAUUCCAAGUGUAGCGGUGAAAUGCGUAGAGAUUUGGAGGAACACCAGUGGCGAAGGCGGCUUUCUGGACGAUAACUGACGCUGAGGCGCGAAAGCGUGGGGAGCAAACAGG
Molecule: ribosomal RNA, 253 nt
Filed under: uncultured bacterium
Lineage: Bacteria
Description: partial 16S ribosomal RNA
Rfam family: Bacterial small subunit ribosomal RNA
Source: RNAcentral